Molecule: long non-coding RNA, 180 nt
Organism: Acyrthosiphon pisum (pea aphid)
Lineage: Eukaryota; Metazoa; Arthropoda; Insecta; Hemiptera; Aphididae
Exons: 3
Source: RefSeq, a predicted model, not a curated record
AAAACAUAUUGGAAACCUUCUCUUUUAACCUUGAUAAUACUCAGGAAAAACCAAUUAUCGGAGAAUAUUCUUCUAAUGUUAUUUCAACUGCUGCUGAUAUUAGUGAAACUUCAUUUUAUGAUGAUGUAUUGGAAAAUUUCUCCUUCAAGAUUUCUCCAUCAAAAGUUGACAAUAUUAAAG